AUAAAAAAUUAAAACGUACAGAACUUUUUUGAAUUGUUAAUUACCUAACCUUUCAAAAUUUUGAUUUUACUCUUCAACAUUUCAAUUUGUUUGAUUUAAGNUAAAUCAAACAAAUUGAAAUGUUGAAGAGUAAAAUCAAAAUUUUGAAAGGUUAGGUAAUUAACAAUUCAAAAAAGUUCUGUACGUUUUAAUUUUUUAUAAUUUAUAAAAAUAAGCAAUUAGCUUAAAUAUUGAAGCCUACACUUAAAUCAAACAAAUUAAAACGUACAGAACUUUUUUGAAUUGUUAAUUACCUAACCUUUCAAAAUUUUGAUUUUACUCUUCAACAUUUCAAUUUGUUUGAUUUAAGUGUAGGCUUCAAUAUUUAAGCUAAUUGCUUAUUUUUAUAAAUUUAUAGUUGUGAAAAUUGCAUGAAAUAUACUUGCUGAUGCCAAAAAUUAGCAUGCCAUAAGAUAGACGGACUUGCUCACGCUAGAGUUAAAGAAAUAAGGACACAUGAUGUACCAGGAGCUGACAAUAAGACGCCUGAUGGCGGAGAGACCUUAAGCAGGAACGGUUGAGAAGUGGGGUGUAACUUACGCAAUCAUGACUACAACACUACCCUACUAAUAAAACCGACCAAUAAUGUGGGCUAAUAAGAUAUUACUAUAAAUUGUAAUUUCAAAGCUUGUAAUAGGGGUCUUUCUUCCCUAUGAACGAGAAGACCACUGCAUUUUCAAUAUUUCUAAUUUCAGCAUUUAUAGCUUUUCUAGGAGUUGUUUACUUGUAAUCUUUACUCUUUCAGCAGUUACAAUAUUUUUAAGAGUAGUUUACUUGUAAUUUUUACCCUUCCAGCAUUUACAGCUUUUUAU
Molecule: long non-coding RNA, 851 nt
Filed under: Ananas comosus (pineapple)
Lineage: Eukaryota; Viridiplantae; Streptophyta; Magnoliopsida; Poales; Bromeliaceae
Description: long non-coding RNA (ACOM_LNC026999)
Source: RNAcentral